AAUAAAGUGCCUGAUAAAAGGGCUAUUUUGAUAGAAUAGAGCAUGUACCACUCGUACCUUUAUUA
This 65-nucleotide transfer RNA is filed under the name Adrisa magna. RNAcentral's name for it is "tRNA-Ile". The record is from RNAcentral. Lineage: Eukaryota; Metazoa; Arthropoda; Insecta; Hemiptera; Cydnidae.